GCAGAUGUUUUUUCAAUGGAUAAAGAUUAUAGCUAAGAAAUACAAAUGUUUCUGGAACCAAAUAUUUUUUUCUCAAAAGGACAGACAAAUGUGGCUCAUUCAAAUAUGUCAUUCUCUUGAGUGUGUUAGAUGCUUUUGAAAAUUGCCUGUUUUCUGCUGUUAAUGAUCCAGCACAAGCCCUUCCACUGGAGAGACUAAUGGACGGCAGUCAGAACCAAGGCAGAAGGAAAUGUAUGAAAAAUAGAGGAGCUCAGCCAUAAUUUGAGGUGGCGGCUUUGUUUGCUUUUGUCCACUGUGUCCACAACUUGAACAUUAUUUUAAAGGGCAUAUUUGUAUUUAAUUUCUUUUGAGCCUUUUUUUUAAUUGCUGAAGCACUCUCACAGCAUCUUCUCCAAGUGCACCUGAGGUCAUCUUAAACACCGUUUAAUGUCUGUCUGAUGCUGAUCCUUUUAAAAUCUCCAAUGAGAUUAUGAUUCAUUUGUUCUUGCUAGAUGACAAAUGAAUUGUAACAGCCUUAACAAAAAUCUUAUUUUGUUAAGGCUGUAUAAAGGUGCUGCAGCAUGUGAAACCAGCAAGUUGAUUUUUAUUAUUGCAUUACUCUGAAAAAGAAAAAAAACCAACUAAUGAGAUCUUUGUUUCUAGUGUGAAAGGCUCCCCUUAGCUUGAGAGGACACGUGCAAAGCCUCUGCUGUGAAUGCCUCGAUAUAAUCAGCUUACAAAAUGGAGGAAAAUGGUAUUACAGAAAGAUUUCUGAGGGACAUAACUCCAGUGGAGCAGAACAUGCACUUGCUAAAGACUGCUCUCUUGCUCUCUCUCCUCAAGUCAGUGGGAAUUUUUAAUGGGAGUUACUGCAAGGCUGUAUGGUUUUUUAAUGCUCUAGCAGAUGUAAUUUCCCAUCCAGUCAUCUGCACACUUGUGGUUGGUACACCAUAAAGGCUGAAGGCCAAAUCCUGCUGUCACUGCACACAGCCCCUCUGCUUCAUCAGUGAUCAUAAAUAUGUACUUAUAUUACUUGAGGUUUUUGCUGAAGGGAAAUGGGAGAGGGCAGGCCUUCCUUCUGCUCCUUGAUCACAGGCUUUGCAUUCACAAUGAGUUUUAUUAGAAGUAUCAUAUAUUUACAUGCUGCAGAAUGAGGCCUGCGUGGGAUGGGAAAGAUCUUUAUGAUUUUAGACCUGCCUAAGAAAACAACUGUUCUAAUUUUAGACAAGUUGCAUUCCAUAUCCAUCUGUUUAGUGCAUCAGUCUGAUGUUUACUGUUUAGUAAAUUGCAUUUGGGUUUUUUUUUUUUUUUUUUCUUUUGAGGACAUUGCCUGUCAUCAGCCAGUGUAAAAUAGCACCAAGGACUUCCAGACAUACCCAUAGGGCCAAACUGUGACAGCUUCACACACCACAGUCCCAUCAAAAGCAAGGAAAGCUGGACUGGGCACAUGAAAUACAAUCCCCCUGACAUCGAAUUACAUGUCCUGCCUCAUUUCAUAGAGAUGGAUGACACCCUGGGAAAAAAAACCCAAAAAACACAUGCUGCCACUUCAUCCAAGUUUAAAAUGUAUUAAAAUCAAGGAAAUUAUAUUAGACAUGGCUGUAGUCUAUCAAAUCCAGCCCUGUGUAUAGGCAGAACUCCAAGGGAAAGUAACAGGAGUUUCCAUUAUGGAGUUUGCAGAAGGAAGCCUACAUAAUGAACUUGACAAAGUGUCAACUUUGUGUAAACUCUCCUGGUGGGUCUGUAUAAAGGUUUUUUUUAAGAAAUCUUCAUUGGAACACACCAGAGAAUAAUAAACUUGCACCUUGAUAGAAUAGCUUUAUUUGUAUAUACUCUAUGUAAAUUUUAAACCAGAGGAAUACAUGUCAUGCCUUGUACAUACCUGACUAGAAUGGUAGCAGUGCUGUGCACUGCUUUUAGGGGAUCCAGCUUCUCAGUCCUGGAUUUCCAGCUGUAAAGGUUGCAGGAGACUGCUUGGGACCAGCUAAAGCAUUGGAUGGAUAGAUGCUCACCACUCACUGCUUAGAAAUGCAGGAGCAGGAUUUGGAUCAGAUGUUGGCUAUGGAGAAGAUUGCUUGCUUCUACUCUUGGCUAAGGGACAAGUGCCUCCUUUGCUGUGGUCUCCAACAGAAGUGAUUUAUGGUCAGAGUGUGGGAACCUUCAGAGCCCUGUUUGGUCUUUUAAAGGGGUCUGAGAUUCGGGUGUCACAUGGGAAGGUCCCUGAAGAAGCAGUGUGUACAUACAUCUACCUACCUGUCUGUCUGUUAUCUAAUAUCCCACUGUUUCUGUAUUGAAUGGUCUCAGUAACCUGUAAACAAGUGAUCACUCCUGUUGUGCUACUGCUUUGAAAUUCUUUGCAUGCACUCUGGCAUAUAAUUCUUUACGAAAAGAAAUUAUACAUAUUAUAUAUACAUAUAUAUAUAGUAGCUUGCAAAAUAUUCAUGUUGAAGAGCCAUGUUUUGUGCAAAUUGUACAUUUAUGUUGUGAGCAAUAUUGCAAUACGAACUUUUAUUAGUUGUCAAUAGUAGAUUUAUCACAUUAUUUUUGAGCUUAUGUACGUAUCCCAAGUUUUCAGCCUCCGGCAUUAGAUCAGCUACUGAAGGAGACUUUUUCUUUGCAAUAGAAAUAGCACAGGCUUCCAGUAAAUGGGCAGGUGUGCAAGUCCCAUUCUGUUUAAUGCAAGUUGCGAGGCUGAUUCUUCAUGCAGGUUGUCAGGCAAAUAUUCUCUUGUCCGUGCUGGAAUUUGUGUUUGGUAUUAGGACCCUGUUGUGGUCAUCUAGAACAGAACUCAAACCCCAGCAUUGCCAAACAAAGUGCUUGACUCCUACUGCUCUCUGUGUCCGCAGGUGCUCCGGUAUAAACACGAGGAGGACUUAAGGAACUCCCAGUUGCCUGCUGGAUAGCCAAUGUUAUAUUUUCAAAUGUUCAUGCUACAUAGUUUUCAAUGUAGGGGCUAGAUAAAAGUGUAAUACCAGUAUGGCUUUAGAAAAGCUACAGUGUUUGGAGCUUGACCUUGAAACUUUUACCUGAUUCCUGAACAUCAUCGGUGGCUUUGUUUGCUCAAUGUUUACCUCUUGGAAAUGUAUGCUAUUGAUUUAAAUGUUUAAUAUAUUGACUGCCAUUUUUUGUAUAUUUGUUAUCAUAAAGGUUUGGUUCAAAUGCUAACAAUUGUGGUCUAUUUUCAGACUUGAAAUACUUAUGGUUCUGUAUUUGGAAGGCAAAGUUAUUAAUGAAUAUAGCAAUUUGGUAUUUUAUUCCUGUUUUAUACAGCUGCCCCCAUAGGUUAUUAUCAGAUAGCAAUGAAUAUUGCUGAACAGCAGGUGGAACUCCUUUGAGUGUGUUUAUGAGCCAUCUCUGUUCAAUAAAAAUUCCAUUGUUUUCUAGCCUAGGAAAUGGCUGCUGUGAGUGUUUUUGUUGUCUCUUCUCCCCUUAAGGUGAUUCUUGUUGUAUUUCAGACAGCAGCAGGACUGGGCUUCUCCCAGGAUCCAUCUCCCAGAAACCACAUGUUCAGGAUCUUACAUCUGGAAGUCCUGGUGCUGUUUUCCCACAUACACUGCUAUCAAGCAUGCUUGCUGUGCACAUGACGAAGUGAUAUGGAGCUGGUUCCCAAAAACCCUUCUCUAAGUGUUGGUCUGCCAUAAGAUGGGCACAUAAGACCUGGGAAUGGAGCUCCAUGAUGCUUAAAAUUAAGCAUCUGCAAGUGCAUCAUAGCGAGAGAGUUUGGAUGCGGGAAGAUCCAAAAGGCUGAAGUUUGCUCCAUUAUUAUGCAGCAUUACUGCAAGUGUGUACAAAUAAGUUGGAAACGGGUAUCUCAAAGGGAAGUCAGGUGUAAGCAGAGGGACUUGAUUAACCUUGGUGUGAGUGUGAAAAUCAGGUUUUAAAAUUCUUUUUGGUUUUACGCUUUUACUCCUUAAAUUAAUUUCCAGUGUAUUCUGUCUUGUAUGUUUUAGUGGAUUUCAAGUCAAGUUCUUUCUUCAUGUUUAGAAUCUUUCUCCAGAUUUUUAAGGAACAGGUCAGUUCAGGAGGCAAAAGAGGGUGACAUCCUUUCAUGUCUUUUACAUGAGACACCACUCACACCACACUGGGUCACCCAGUUUAUACUGGGUGACUGCCCAGACCAGUGGUGGCUCUCUUGGGUGCCUUUAGGUUUUGCAAACACGGAUGUCCAGGAGCAGACUUUGAAAAGCAGCUCAUCGGGUACCCUGCAGCUAUCCAAAUUCUGCAAGAGAUCUAGGCCCCCUCUUCCCUGCCUCCCCAGUAAGAAAAAAAAAAAAAA
Taeniopygia guttata (zebra finch) is the source of this 4255-nucleotide long non-coding RNA. NCBI's taxonomy places the organism in Eukaryota, Metazoa, Chordata, Aves, Passeriformes, Estrildidae. The record is from Ensembl.